RNAcentral lists this ribosomal RNA (498 nucleotides) under uncultured bacterium. RNAcentral's name for it is "bacterial SSU rRNA". It matches the Rfam family "Bacterial small subunit ribosomal RNA", at positions 21 to 507 of the family's 1533-position model. The record is from RNAcentral.
GGCUCAGGAUGAACGCUAGCGGCAGGCUUAACACAUGCAAGUCGAGGGGCAGCAUGACGGAACCUUCGGGUUUUGUUGAUGGCGACCGGCGCAAGGGUGCGUAACGCGUGAGCAACUUGCCCGUUUCAGGGGGAUAACCGGUGGAAACGCCGACUAAUACCCCAUAGCAUCACAUUGAGGCAUCUUUAUGUGAUUAAAGAGAUUCGGAAACGGAUAGGCUCGCGUGACAUUAGCUAGAUGGCGGGGUAACGGCCCACCAUGGCGACGAUGUCUAGGGGUUCUGAGAGGAAGGUCCCCCACACUGGAACUGAGACACGGUCCAGACUCCUACGGGAGGCAGCAGUGAGGAAUAUUGGUCAAUGGGCGCAAGCCUGAACCAGCCAAGUAGCGUGAAGGAUGACUGCCCUAUGGGUUGUAAACUUCUUUUAUACGGGAACAAACCUUGGUACGCGUACCAAAUUGCGUGUACCGUAUGAAUAAGCAUCGGCUAACUCCGUG